This 1359-nucleotide ribosomal RNA is filed under the name uncultured bacterium. RNAcentral describes it as "bacterial SSU rRNA". It matches the Rfam family "Bacterial small subunit ribosomal RNA", at positions 28 to 1381 of the family's 1533-position model. The record is from RNAcentral.
GAUGAACGCUAGCUACAGGCUUAACACAUGCAAGUCGAGGGGCAGCAUUUUAGUUUGCUUGCAAACUGAAGAUGGCGACCGGCGCACGGGUGAGUAACACGUAUCCAACCUGCCGAUAACUCCGGGAUAGCCUUUCGAAAGAAAGAUUAAUACCGGAUAGUAUACGAAUAUCGCAUGAUAUUUUUAUUAAAGAAUUUCGGUUAUCGAUGGGGAUGCGUUCCAUUAGUUUGUUGGCGGGGUAACGGCCCGCCAAGACUACGAUGGAUAGGGGUUCUGAGAGGAAGGUCCCCCACAUUGGAACUGAGACACGGUCCAAACUCCUACGGGAGGCAGCAGUGAGGAAUAUUGGUCAAUGGGCGCGAGCCUGAACCAGCCAAGUAGCGUGAAGGAUGAAGGCUCUAUGGGUCGUAAACUUCUUUUAUAUGGGAAUAAAGUUUUCCACGUGUGGAAUUUUGUAUGUACCAUAUGAAUAAGGAUCGGCUAACUCCGUGCCAGCAGCCGCGGUAAUACGGAGGAUCCGAGCGUUAUCCGGAUUUAUUGGGUUUAAAGGGAGCGUAGGUGGAUUGUUAAGUCAGUUGUGAAAGUUUGCGGCUCAACCGUAAAAUUGCAGUUGAAACUGGCAGUCUUGAGUACAGUAGAGGUGGGCGGAAUUCGUGGUGUAGCGGUGAAAUGCUUAGAUAUCACGAAGAACUCCGAUUGCGAAGGCAGCUCACUAGACUGUCACUGACACUGAUGCUCGAAAGUGUGGGUAUCAAACAGGAUUAGAUACCCUGGUAGUCCACACAGUAAACGAUGAAUACUCGCUGUUUGCGAUAUACAGUAAGCGGCCAAGCGAAAGCAUUAAGUAUUCCACCUGGGGAGUACGCCGGCAACGGUGAAACUCAAAGGAAUUGACGGGGGCCCGCACAAGCGGAGGAACAUGUGGUUUAAUUCGAUGAUACGCGAGGAACCUUACCCGGGCUUAAAUUGCAACAGAAUAUAUUGGAAACAGUAUAGCCGUAAGGCUGUUGUGAAGGUGCUGCAUGGUUGUCGUCAGCUCGUGCCGUGAGGUGUCGGCUUAAGUGCCAUAACGAGCGCAACCCUUAUCUUUAGUUACUAACAGGUUAUGCUGAGGACUCUAGAGAGACUGCCGUCGUAAGAUGUGAGGAAGGUGGGGAUGACGUCAAAUCAGCACGGCCCUUACGUCCGGGGCUACACACGUGUUACAAUGGGGGGUACAGAAGGCGGCUACCUGGUGACAGGAUGCUAAUCCCAAAAACCUCUCUCAGUUCGGAUCGAAGUCUGCAACCCGACUUCGUGAAGCUGGAUUCGCUAGUAAUCGCGCAUCAGCCAUGGCGCGGUGAAUACGUUCCCGGGCCU